Molecule: ribosomal RNA, 465 nt
Filed under: Vreelandella stevensii
Lineage: Bacteria; Pseudomonadati; Pseudomonadota; Gammaproteobacteria; Oceanospirillales; Halomonadaceae
Description: partial 16S ribosomal RNA
Rfam family: Bacterial small subunit ribosomal RNA
Source: RNAcentral
CCUACGGGAGGCUGCAGUGGGGAAUAUUGGACAAUGGGCGAAAGCCUGAUCCAGCCAUGCCGCGUGUGUGAAGAAGGCCUUCGGGUUGUAAAGCACUUUCAGUGGGGAAGAAAGCCUUGGGGCUAAUACCCUCGAGGAAGGACAUCACCCACAGAAGAAGCACCGGCUAACUCCGUGCCAGCAGCCGCGGUAAUACGGAGGGUGCGAGCGUUAAUCGGAAUUACUGGGCGUAAAGCGCGCGUAGGCGGUCUGAUAAGCCGGUUGUGAAAGCCCCGGGCUCAACCUGGGAACGGCAUCCGGAACUGUCAGGCUAGAGUGCAGGAGAGGAAGGUAGAAUUCCCGGUGUAGCGGUGAAAUGCGUAGAGAUCGGGAGGAAUACCAGUGGCGAAGGCGGCCUUCUGGACUGACACUGACGCUGAGGUGCGAAAGCGUGGGUAGCAAACAGGAUUAGAUACCCAUGUAGUC